This 86-nucleotide ribosomal RNA is filed under the name uncultured bacterium. RNAcentral describes it as "partial 16S ribosomal RNA". The record is from RNAcentral.
GGAUGAAGCCCUUGGGUGUAAACGUCCUUUCGACCGGGAAGAUACCUGACGGUACCGGUGGAAGAAGCACCGGCCUAACUCUGUGC